ACACCCUCAAGCUCUGCUUGGUGUUGGGCGUCUGUCCCGCCUCCGCGCGUGGACUCGCCCCAAAUUCAUUGGCAGCGGUCUUCUUGCCCCCUCUCGCGCAGCACAUUGCGCUUCUCGAGGGCGGCGGGCCGCGUCCACGAAGCAACAUUCACCGU
RNAcentral lists this unclassified non-coding RNA (155 nucleotides) under uncultured Pleosporales. RNAcentral describes it as "sequence contains ITS2". Lineage: Eukaryota; Fungi; Ascomycota; Dothideomycetes; Pleosporales. RNAcentral also lists the same sequence under 1 other name. The record is from RNAcentral.